Non-coding RNA from Nothobranchius furzeri (turquoise killifish), 3048 nucleotides. Lineage: Eukaryota; Metazoa; Chordata; Actinopteri; Cyprinodontiformes; Nothobranchiidae. The record is from RefSeq and is a predicted model, not a curated record.
GAUUGUCACUGGUGCGUUAGCUCACCUAGUAAAACAUCAGACUCCUGUGCAGAAGUCCUGGGUUCGAUUCUGGAUGUCAACAUAGUUUGUUUAGAGUUUAUUUUUUACAUUAAUGGUAUAUUUUUUUUACAGUAAGAUGCCCAAAUUUUUAUUUGAGACUCGCCAAACGGCUUUGAAUUCACAGAUAAAAAAGAUGUGGGUUCAACUUUCAUUUUGGAACAAUUUUUCAAGCAAGAGAAGGGAAUGAUCUGAGCAUGCAGGAGGACUAACCCAUCAUAAACCUUUGUCGGCUGUGCUGAAGAGAAAGGUACAGAACCAAAUUAUUUAAUUAAUUAGCUGCAUGUUCUCCUGUCCUCUGGGCCACACACACACACACACACACACACACACACACACACACACACACACACACACACACACACACACACACACACACACACACACACACACACACACACACACACACACAGGACUGUCUCAGCUGUUAUUUUCGUUAAGGAGUGUGCACGUACAGCAUGCGCACCUCGUGCACGAGCCUACUAUUGAAGCUGUCGUUACGCUUUUGGCCUGAGGGGGCAAUCGGGAGCAUAAAAAUUCAAAACUCCGUAAAGUCCCUUUAAAUAAUUACAAUACAAAAAUAGAAACAUCUUUAAUUGAUCCUAAAAACAUUCAGUGAAACUAAUCUGCCUUCCUAGAGCAAUUUCACAGGUCACCCCUCCCAUUCCUCCUGAAUGGAAUGCUCCGGAACCUUCUUUAGGUGCUCCAGCUCCCCGGGGACUCUUUUAGCUGGAACACCUCCAGAAUCACAAAGGAAACAGGUAAGUAAAAACACUCAAUCAUUUACCACUUUAAAUCCUCAAUAUGCAUACCAACUCUUCUUCUUACAGGUCCAAACGCUUCACCCUUUUUAAAUAAACGUUAAAACAAUUGUUAUAGAGCCUGGUUUCAUUUAUCCUACAACCAUCGUAAAAACCUGUGUAAUGGACUUUCUACAUUACAGGACGGUUCAUAUCAGUCAGUAGGUGAAACUCAAACAAUAAGAAUACGGUGUAAAAGUUAAUUUAUGUGAUUAAUUCUAUUUUAGAGAGCUUUAAAUUGACCAGUUUCACAUUUUGACACCACUCCUGCAGACGUCUGCUGACCAAAAACAGCACUUUUACCUGCUUGUGUGUUAGCAUUUUUAGUUUGCAGAUCGUCAGUUAAAAAAAAGGAGAUAAAGAAGAAGUUUGCUUUUUUGUUGGAAGUAAAAGUUGGAGAGUAAUGUCUGCGAAGCAAAGAGCUAAAACCAGAGUGAACAUCAGCGCGGCCUACGCUAGUUUGAGGGAGCUAAAGGGGGCUACAACAUCACGGACUGAUGGUGACCUGGCUUUGUUGCUGCUGGACGUCUAAGCAAUAAUAUUUUUCUGUCCAACAGUGUGGAUCUUUUUACUUUGUGGUUUAUUUUAGUAUUAGUUGGCUCAUGUUAGUGUUAGCUCAUUGUUAACGCUAGCUGCAGCAGGUUGCAGUAGAGCGGAGAAGCAGGAAACUGCUGUGUGUUACUUAAAAAGGUGAAACUAUUCUAUGAGACAGACUCGUUCCAUGCAAAUCCAGAUAUUUCAGCCUUUAUUAGUUAUAAUUAUGAUGAUCGUGACUAACAGCUCAUGAAAACCCCACAUUCAAAAUCUCAGACAGUUAGAAUAUUGUGAAAAGGUUCAAUAUUCCAAACUCAAAGUGUCACACUCUAAUGAAUCCAGAGCAACUGCAAAGGGUUCCUGAGCCUUUAGAUGGUCUCUCUGUCUAAGAUGGAUCACUGACAUAAAUGGACUUUUGCACCAAUUUUCUCAUUACUGGAGUUUCACCAGUUUUUGUUAUAGAUAACUCUUUGAUCGGACUCCGAUCAAAUAGAGAUUAAUUCUGGUUGGACAGGCAAGCUAACCGCUACGUGGGGUAAGCUUUUAAUUGUCCUGAAUUAAUUAAAGUUUACGAAGCGGUUUUUAUGAUCUUUUCGUUGACACAAAUGCAACAAACGUCUCUUUUCUCAUCCGUUUCCUUCCACUUUAUGAUUGCCUUCCUUCCUCGAUACAUACCGGCUGUUAUCUCAUUUAGCCAGUCAGAACUAAUCUCUGUUUCUCCAAACUGAGGUCAUUCAAAGAGCAGGUAAGAUUGAACCUCGCUUCCCCUUUGAAGAACAUAAAACACACGCCAGGAUAAUUCUGCACCAUUAAACCAAUAAAAAAAUUAACAUUUGAUAUGAAUUAUCAGAUCAGAACAGUCCACUUAUUCUCCUUUUAGAGUCAAAUCACCAAAGUGUGCUUGAAAUAAGAUGUUCCAAGAUUUAUUAGUUAUUUGAAUUUCUAGAACUAAUGAAUGUAAUCAGUUUUUAUUUCACAGUAUAUUUUCCCAUAGAAGAAGGAUUUGGGUUCUUAGGCCAAAUUUAAUACAAAUUUGGGCUUUAAAUUGUUUUCAGAACACUAAAUAUAUAGAUAUGUAUAGAAAUAGAGACUCCCAACAAUGGUUCGUAGAUGACCUAACUAAGGUUAAAGGUGAUGUUAGCACAUUGUGUUAUAAAAGCGGUAACUAAGGAAUCUAAUUAGCAUCAUUUUAGGUGGUUUGUGCCAUACAAAAACAUUUUUGUUUUAUAAAUCAAGUAAUAAUCUGUUUCUAUGUUGUUUGUUUUUAACUUUAUUUUAUGUGAGAUUGAAUUCCUCCUACCUGUCUGCAGGAGCGUGCCUGAGUCGUGGCCGGAGGGUCGUGUAGGAGAAAGCUCAGUGGGACGAAGACUUGGUCCAACUGCAAAAACAAGGCACAAACAUAAACGUGUGGGCAAGAAGAGGAGAAGUGAAGAAAGAGCUGCCUGCAGACAGAAACUCGCGUUUACAGGAAGGAAAAGUAAAGGUUCCCCGAGCCUCAAAAGGGUCGUGGUGUGGGUCAGUUCGGGGGGGGACCGUUGACUGGACACAUGUCCAGAAGACAUUCAUAGACACCGUCCUCAAGGAGGGGAAGCCACAAGAGGUCCAUUCUAAAGAGUGCUGCGUCCAUGCAGAGUCAUAAAAAGUUGAGUGGAAGGAG